AUUUUUUGAUUAUUUUAUUUCAAUAGCAUUUUUUUCCCUGUCACAUAGUACUAUACAUAAUUUUUAAUAUCUCUAUGAAAUGUUUUAUUCGAACUUCAAUCUCUAUUACAUUUCAUUUUUAAUAAACUAGGAAGAACUAGAACUUGUCAAGAGGCGCCAAAGCUAGCGGCCACAAUAGUCCAGACCUUUGAUGUUAUCUGAAGAUCCAUGGACACGAAAACAACAACAGAACUAGAACUUAACUAGAGAGAAGUAUAUGGAACACAGUAAAAGACGUCCAGCAACUUAAUUCCAUUCAUUUCCCCACGGAAAGGCAUUGCCACACGUUUCGGAAACAAGAAUUGAGACCCUUGGCUAAUCUUUUACAAUUAAGUUUACUCUAGUUUGAUUUUUCGUAAGAAAAUGAAUUCAAUUUUAUGUCAAAGAAUGUGAAUUACUUCUUUUUUGUAAAUAAUGCUUUUAUUUUACAAGCCUACUUAUAGCUAGCAAUAAAAUAUUUAUUUUCUAAGAUCAUAAA
Molecule: non-coding RNA, 517 nt
Organism: Parasteatoda tepidariorum (common house spider)
Lineage: Eukaryota; Metazoa; Arthropoda; Arachnida; Araneae; Theridiidae
Source: RefSeq, a predicted model, not a curated record